This is a long non-coding RNA of Triticum aestivum (bread wheat), 2746 nucleotides long. RefSeq lists it as uncharacterized. The transcript is spliced from 3 exons. The record is from RefSeq and is a predicted model, not a curated record. NCBI's taxonomy places the organism in Eukaryota, Viridiplantae, Streptophyta, Magnoliopsida, Poales, Poaceae.
CGCACUGCGAUGGAGCACCAACAAGCGGUGGGCGCUGCAGUGCAACUCCGUCGCUGGCGCCGUCGGGGUGCCGCAGUGGAGCCCGCCAUGCCAUGCCGGUGCGGGCUGCAGCGAAACAUCGUCGACGACGUCGGGUGCUGCGAUGAAGCAUCGAUGGACCACCGCUGGGCCGACAUCGGUGCUGCUGUGAAGCAUCCCAGGCGACGAAGGGUGCUGCGAUGGAGCGCCGCGGGAGGGACCAUUGAAACUUCGCCGGGAUUGCAUUGAAGCACCGGCGGCGCUGCAAUGGAGCGUGCCCAGGGCUGCAAUGAGCGUGUCUGGGGUCAUUGGAGCUCCGCCGCGGUUCCAAUGGAGCUUCAUCGGAGUUGCAAUGGAGUGUGGCCGUAGCUGUGAUGGAGCUUCGCCUGGCCUGCAAUGGAGCGUUGUUGUGGCUACAAUGAAGCUUCGUCGAAGAAGGAUUCUUUUUUGUGCUUGGUGUUGCGACGGACAUGGCUGUGGUGGAGCAGGCCGGUGCUCCCGGAGCGCUACCCGGCGCUGCAGCGGUCGGUGGUGGCUCUCGCAGAUGCGGUGCAGUGCUCGUCGACGGCUCCAUUGCCACGGCGGGUGCUGCGUUGCUCCGGUGGAACCGUGAAAGGGGAUCAAAGAAGGAAGACGUGAGGCGGGGCUCUGUUACUCGGAUCAAACGGCCAUCCAGCGAUAGAUCGGAUGGCUACCCAGGCGGAUGAUUUCUUAAAGAAAUCAUCCGACUGAUUUGUAGCAGCCGCCGAACAAAAAUGGUUCAACUUAACAAGAUGUGUGUGAUACGCGGCAAACAGGUUUGUAAUCAGAAAUGUGUGUGAAGACCGAUAAUAACACAGACGAUUGCUGCUAAUAAGACCUGUGUGUUGUGCGAUGUGAUUGCAUACAGAACUACAACAUACACUAUAAUCCCAGGAUUAGAAUAGUUAUUUGGAUCACAUCAGCCCCAAUAAGGGCCCGACAGAACCCACCCGAACUUCCCGAACUGCCGGCCCGCCCCGACAGGAUCCCACCUGGUCCCGAUCCCGAUUCAGCCGCCCUAGCCCCCCUCCUCGCCGCUCCUCCCCUCGAUCACCAGCCUCCCCCUGUGAUUCGCCGCCGAACUCCGCCGGAUCCAGCGCCUCCCCUCCGUCUCCAGCUCCUGGCCGACCGGAUCCAGCACCUCCUCUCCGACUCCACCUCCUGGCCGACCGGAUCCAGCUCCGCCCCCUCCGUCGCCACCAUCUGUCCAAUCGCCGGCUCGGGCGAGUGAGCGACGGCGAACGCCGGCGCGAGGGAGCCCCCAUCGCCUGGAGGCGGUGAAGCCGUCGGACUUUCUGCCACUAAUAGCGAUGGACUUUCGGAAGCCUCCUCCUCCUCCCAUCCUCACCGCCCGACGGCUUAGCAGAGCUGAUGACGGCCAAGGUGCAAGCUACGGCGAACGACGCGGCCAAGGAAGCAUCUCAGCGGCGGAGGCCGCAUCGGUGGUGCCUUCAAAACUAGCAAAGGUAGAUGAACUUCCUCCCUCUUCUUGCCUACUCCUUCAAUCUUGCCUUGCCUGACCUUCUUGGUUCGUGCAGAUGAACUUCGCGCCCUCUGCAAGACAUGGAUUUCCAUGGAAUUCCUCUCCUAGCUCUCCUACGAAUUGCUCUCAAGGUGGCCUAUCUACUGCGGGAAAAAGGUUGGCCGAACUUCUAGCCAAGCAAGAUGAGAGGCGCAGGAAGAAGCUUAGAAGUUCCCAGCAGCAAAUACACAAUCCUAAGCCUGUACGCGUUGCGCCACCACCUCAAUGGGUCACACCUCAACCGCACCAACAACAUUACCAACCUGCUCCACACCAAAAUUGGAUGACACCCGAAACACAUGCAGACUACCAAGACGCUGGUUCACAUCCCUAUCCGCACCACUUUGUGCCUCCACCUGAUUGGGUGACGCCGGAAAUCCCCCGCGGAUUCUUUGUAUCCACCAGCAGACUUCCAAGCACACCGAUGGAGGAGGGGGUUAGCUCAAGUCCUGCGUGUAACUCUGAAGGUUAUCCUGGUGUGGAUCAUCAAUGCCAAAGGGUAGCAACUAAAACGGAUCCCAGGACAAAUCCAACAGGAACACACACACGGAGGAGAGUGCUCUGCACACUACCGUCGUUGGAUGCUGCUGCUACAACUCAAAUUGUACGGGACAUAAGGUAGAUGGAUUGCUUCACAGAACAAAAGAGCAAACCAAAACCAGGUUCGCAAUACCUCCACAACCACCACAAGCAAAAAGGAUGCAAACAAGAGAGAGGCCAUCUUCAGCCCUCCUUCCUCCUCGUGAUCCACUCCUGCAUCCUGCUAUGAUAACUCCGCCAUGCCCCAUCCUAGAGGGCCAGCAGCAGACUCCCGUGGAGUUGCGAUCAUACACACACAUGCCGGAUCUCCUGGAUUAUCUAAUACCGAGACUAAAGAUGCGAUUCCAGAAUGUAGAGAAAGCAAGGGAAUUUUAUAACAGAUAGGCCAGACAUUCUGGUUUUGGAAUCAGGAAGACGGGAGGGAAUGACAAUCACAAGUAUUUUGUUUGUGUUCCAAGGGAAAGACACAACUUCUGUUUCAGAGGCUGACAGGAAGCGAAACAAAACAUCGCAGAGGACAGGCUGCAAUGCAAGAAUGAGGGUGAAGGUGCAGGAGGAUAAAACACGUGUGGUAGUGGACAUUGAGUACAAUCAUAAUCACCACCUCAUGCAAACUGAUGACAUGCUGGUAUUCUUGCACUCACA